RNAcentral lists this ribosomal RNA (495 nucleotides) under uncultured bacterium. RNAcentral's name for it is "partial 16S ribosomal RNA". It matches the Rfam family "Bacterial small subunit ribosomal RNA", at positions 28 to 507 of the family's 1533-position model. The record is from RNAcentral.
GAUGAACGCUGGCGGCGUGCCUAAUACAUGCAAGUAGAACGCUGAAGGAGGAGCUUGCUCUUCUGGAUGAGUUGCGAACGGGUGAGUAACGCGUAGGUAACCUGCCUGGUAGCGGGGGAUAACUAUUGGAAACGAUAGCUAAUACCGCAUGACAACAGUUAUUGCAUGAUAACUGUUUAAAAGGGGCAACUGCUCCACUACCAGAUGGACCUGCGUUGUAUUAGCUAGUUGGUGAGGUAACGGCUCACCAAGGCGACGAUACAUAGCCGACCUGAGAGGGUGAUCGGCCACACUGGGACUGAGACACGGCCCAGACUCCUACGGGAGGCAGCAGUAGGGAAUCUUCGGCAAUGGACGGAAGUCUGACCGAGCAACGCCGCGUGAGUGAAGAAGGUUGUCGGACCGUAAAGCUCUGUUGUAAGAGAAGAACGAGUGUGAGAGUGGAAAGUUCACGCUGUGACGGUAGCUUACCAGAAAGGGACGGCUAACUACGUG